This 466-nucleotide ribosomal RNA is filed under the name uncultured bacterium. RNAcentral describes it as "partial 16S ribosomal RNA". It matches the Rfam family "Bacterial small subunit ribosomal RNA", at positions 29 to 507 of the family's 1533-position model. The record is from RNAcentral.
AUGAACGCUGGCGGCGUGCUUAACCCAUGCAAGUCGAACGGUGAAGCAGAGCUUGCUCUGUGGAUCAGUGGCGAACGGGUGAGUAACACGUGAGCAACCUGCCCCUGACUCUGGGAUAAGCGCUGGAAACGGCGUCUAAUACUGGAUAUGAGCUGCGACCGCAUGGUCAGCAGUUGGAAAGAUUUUUCGGUCUGGGAUGGGCUCACGGCCUAUCAGCUUGUUGGUGAGGUAAUGGCUCACCAAGGCGUCGACGGGUAGCCGGCCUGAGAGGGUGACCGGCCACACUGGGACUGAGACACGGCCCAGACUCCUACGGGAGGCAGCAGUGGGGAAUAUUGCACAAUGGGCGAAAGCCUGAUGCAGCAACGCCGCGUGAGGGAUGACGGCCUUCGGGUUGUAAACCUCUUUUAGCAGGGAAGAAGCGAAAGUGACGGUACCUGCAGAAAAAGCGCCGGCUAACUACGUG